Long non-coding RNA from Monodelphis domestica (gray short-tailed opossum), 605 nucleotides. RefSeq lists it as uncharacterized. The record is from RefSeq and is a predicted model, not a curated record. Lineage: Eukaryota; Metazoa; Chordata; Mammalia; Didelphimorphia; Didelphidae.
GAUGCAGGAAAGUGACGUAAAAACCAUCUAUAUAUUUCACAUCCCUUCCUCUCUCCGGCCUCUUUGGCAGUGGAGAGGUGGCUGGCAGAGGGUGCUGAGAGUUUUCGGGUCAUCUUGGGUGGCGGCUACUAUUGUCCGGGUUUAGCGGAAAUGAAAAAUUCAAGGAAGGUGUAAAAAGAAAGAAAAAAAAAGCUUCAAGCAUAAAGAAAGCUUCAUAGAUAGUCUGGGUGGUACCAGAUGGCCUCAAAGCACCUGACAUCAUGGACAAGAUCUUCCUCAUACUCCCUGUUGGUUAACCUUGGGUAAAUCAAAUUAAAUUUCAUGACCUUCCACCAAUUAUUGUAUAGCUCUGGAAGGACUGAGCAGCAAAUUAGACAUACCCUAUUCUACCAAUCAUCAUCCUAGAACCUCCCAAAAGAGAAGGAAGCAUAUCUUAUAAGCAUAAAAGAAAGGACCUUUGCUCUAUGUAACAAGGGAAGGCUGGAAAACCAUCUUUGGAGUUACCACUCCACAUCCCCCAUAUCUGGAUAUAAAUUUUGAGGCCCAAAGUACCCCACUUCUGUCUCCAGCCUGCUAUGAAGAAUAAAAUCUACUUUGACAUGUAA